This is a long non-coding RNA of Mustela lutreola (European mink), 3130 nucleotides long. RefSeq lists it as uncharacterized. NCBI's taxonomy places the organism in Eukaryota, Metazoa, Chordata, Mammalia, Carnivora, Mustelidae. The transcript is spliced from 3 exons. The record is from RefSeq and is a predicted model, not a curated record.
CUGGAGUACUUAAUCCCUUUACAUUCAAAGUACUUGUUGAUAGGUAUGUACUACUGCGGUUUUGUUACUUGUUUUAUGAUGGUUUUGUAGUUCUUCUGUUUCUUUUCUUGCUGUCUUCUCUCACAGUUGGCUGGUUUUCUUUAGUGAUAUAAUUGGAUUCCUUUCUCUUUAUUAUUUGCAUAUUAUUGGUUUUUGAUUUUUGGUUACCAUUUAGUUUAUAUAUGGCAUUUUAUUAAUAGCGGUUGGUAUUAGGUUGAUGGUCACUUAAGUUUAAAUCCAUUCUUUAUUCCACUCAUCCUCACUUUUAGGUAUAUGGUGUCACAUUUUACAUCCUUUAUUUUAUGAAUGCCUUAACUUAUUUUUAUAGAUAUAAUUAAGUUUACUACUCUUGUGUUUCCUACUUUUCUUAGUCCUACUUAUGGUUUUCCUGUCUACUCACCUGUCCCCUUUAACAUUUCUGGUAGGGCUGGGUUAGUGGUGACAAACUCCUUUAACUUCUGUUUGUGUAGGAAACUCUUCUCCUUCCACUUUAUUUUUUUCCUUCUGAUAGCUCUGUAUUUUUCAAUGAUAGCCUUGGUGCAUAGAGUAUUCUUGGUUGUAUGUUUUUCCUUUCAGCAUUUUGAAUAUAUCAUUUUACUCCCUUUUAGCCUUCAAAGUUUCCACUGAAAAAUUAGUGGGAAGUUAAUGAAAUUUCCCUUGUAUGUAAUGGUUUUCAUUUGUUGAUUUUAAAAUUCUUUGCCAUUUUAAUUACUAUGUAUCUUGGUAUGGACCUCCUUGGAUUGAUAUUGUUGACAGUUGUUUGUCCCUCCUGGAUCUAUACUUCUAUUUCCUUCCCCAGGUUCAGGAAUUUUCAGCUGUUAUUUAUUCAAACAAAUUUUCUGUCUUACCAUUCUAGGUUUCCUCUAGCAUGAAUGUCACUGUGCUUGAUGGUGUUGUGAGUUCCCUAAGUCUACUCAUUAUUAUUGCUUUCCAUUGUUCUAUCCUCCAGAUCAUGAUCCAGUCUUCUGCUUGUGCUUCCUCAAGUCUACUGGCCAUUCCAUCUACUGUAUUUUUAAUUUCAUUUAUUGAAAUUAAAUGAUUUUUUUGUUUGUUUGUUUUCUGUUUGUUAUGGGUCUCACAGAGAUUGUCCACUCUUUUCUCAAGUCUCAUGAGUAUCCAUAUGACCAUUACUUUAAAUUCUCUACUAGAUAUAUUAUCUUCAUUUUGGUUACAACUCAUGCUCUGAUUUUGUCCUUUCAUUUGGCAUAUAUCCUCUGUCUCCUCAUUUUGUCUAACUCUGUUUCUGUGGGUUAGGAAAGGGAAAGUCAGCUACAUUUCAUGUACUUGAAAGUAGUGGCCUUAUGAAGAAGAGGUCCUAAAAUGCCCUACAGUGCAAUGUCUCCUGUUCAUAAGAACCUGGAGCUACACGGUUGUCUCCUAUAUGUAUUGUGUGUACCUUAAUCUGGCCUUUAGUCCACAUUCACCUGUUAUGGUCAGGGUUUGGUUCCUGGUGCCACCUUGACUUGUUUACCAAAGGUGCAGUAGCAUUGAACUGCAGGGCAUUUUCCCUGUUGUCCCCUGAGAAGCUGUUCUUGGUGGGUGGUGCCUGCAGUCAAAUGAAGUAUUUGUCCCCAGUCCACCCUGAGGCCCCAGUUGGAUGGGUAUGUUUUGCUAUCCUCCCUUCUCUCUGGGGUAGGAGUCACUUUGGAGUGGUGCUGGUCCCUGCCAGGGUUGCUUGCACAUUGCAGGUCUUGUAGCACUGCUCUAGGAUGGGUUCCAGAAAAGGGGAUAUUGGAGAGGGAAAGUCUAUAGGAGAGUGUCAGGGUGGAACAUGCAGUGUUAGCAAGGUUUGGACAGGUCUUCUGUGGGAGGAGACCUGGAAACAAGGCCUGGAUGGAGGCAGUGUGUCUGCAGCAUACUGUAGGGAUAGAAUGUUUCUACCAAGUUAGGUAGCAUGUGUUGGUGUAGUCCUGGUUUCUGCAGGUGUGUAUGGGUCUAGAGUGGGAGACAGAGGAGAGGAAUGGUGCUUGCCAGCUCCUUUGUUCCUGGAGAAGUCUCCCAAGGAUCCCUGUCCCUCCAGUACAUGCUCUGAGGUGAAUGGGAUUCAAAUCAGAGACUUCGGGAGGAGGUGGAUGAAAGUUCUUUCUCUCUUCCAUGGUCUACUCCAUGAUCCUGGAACAGUGACUUAGUCAUCAUACUAAAAAGAACCAGUCACGCCUCCUCAGCAGUUCUUUCCAGCCCCAAAAGAAUUGUGUUUUGUUCUUCAGGUCCUGAGGGACAGAAUGCCUCAUGAAGACAUUCUUCUUACUUCUUGGAAAAUCAAUUAAUAAAGCAAUAGACUACAUAACUGGUAUCUGUGGGGAUUAUAAGAACAGCGUGAAACAGCCUCAAGGGACUUCAGGUUGACAAGGAACAGAGCUUGGCACUCAGCACAGGAGAGCAGUAGAAAUAGAUCUGCACUUGGAAUCAGAACACCUGGGUUUGGCCAUGCUCUGGGAUCUUGAGCCUUUUACUUAAUUUUUCAGACUUUAUUCCCUUGCUUGUCAAAUAGAGCUAAUAGUGCAGCUGCAGUCAAGAUUAAGUAAGAGAAUGAACGUCAAAGAAGCUUACCACUUGCACAAUAAUAUCCGAGUACAUGCUACAAUGAAGAAAUAGUGUUUAUAUUUAAUACAAAGUGAUGGGCAUUGAAGAGAACAUUGGAGGUAUACAGACCUGGAUUCAUACGUCUUUACUAGUUGUCUGGUUUCAGGCAAGGUACUUGACACCUAUGAUUCUCAGUUUCUUAAUCUGUAUAAUGGGUACAGAUGGAGCAUGGUAGAGCUCCUAGGAAAAUUGGUGGCAAAGGACAGAAAGCAUGAAGUGGAGUAGCUGGCAUAAAGUAAGCACUGAAGAAGUAAAAGAUUUCAUUUUGUGAUUAAUAUGGCUUAACGAUAGAGACUGUGUAUAACUUGGUGCUUAAUUUUGUUUGCUUAUAGCCUGUGGGUAGUGUACAAAUUCAGAGAAGAGAAAUAUGAACUAUAUUUGGGGUCUCGUUAAAAAGACUUCAUGGAAGAAGGGUGAUUUGAGAUAGACCUGGAAAGAUGAGUAAGCUUUGCUUAGGUGGAAUAACCAGUAGCGUUUACCCAAAUUGGUUCUCUGGGUGUAGACAGCA